UUCGGCUGAUCGAAUUCGUUUACGAUACGUCUUCUAAGAGUCAAGUUGUUUGGGAUUGCAGCUUAAAAUGGGAGGUAAAUUUCUCCUAAGGCUAAAUAUUGGCGAGAGACCGAUAGCGAACAAGUACCGUGAGGGAAAGAUGAGAAGCACUUUGAAAAGAGAGUUAAAUAGCACGUGAAAUUGUUGAAAGGGAAACGAUUGAAGCCAGUCGUACCUACGGGUAAUCAACCUUUCGGGAGCGAUUCUGUGGACUUUGGGGAGCUUUACGGCCCUCGGGUUUUCAUAUUCGUACCCCUUGAGUGUACUUUCCCGGUGGUUUGUUAACAUCAAUUUCGGUCGUCAUAAAAUGACGAGAGGAAUGUAGCUUCGACCUCGGUUGAAGUGUUAUAGCCUCUGGUAGAUGUGAUGAUCGGGAUUGAGGAUUGCAACGAAUACCUUAUGGGCUACCUGCCUGAUCUCUGAUGGUUGCUCUGGUGCCGAAAGCGUGCUUACGGUUGUCAAAGUUGACUGUCAAAAGGUUAGAACGGGUUAAAUU
This 535-nucleotide ribosomal RNA is filed under the name uncultured Glomus. RNAcentral describes it as "LSU rRNA". It matches the Rfam family "Eukaryotic large subunit ribosomal RNA", at positions 225 to 634 of the family's 3401-position model. Lineage: Eukaryota; Fungi; Glomeromycota; Glomeromycetes; Glomerales; Glomeraceae. The record is from RNAcentral.